GGGCUCUUCGUUCAACGGUUAGGACAUAUGUCUUAUAAACAUAUAACGAUAGUUCGACUCUAUCAGAGCCCA
Molecule: transfer RNA, 72 nt
Filed under: Candidatus Woesebacteria bacterium RIFOXYA1_FULL_48_16
Lineage: Bacteria; Candidatus Woeseibacteriota
Also listed under: 3 other names
Description: tRNA-Ile
Rfam family: tRNA
About the family: Transfer RNA (tRNA) molecules are approximately 80 nucleotides in length. Their secondary structure includes four short double-helical elements and three loops (D, anti-codon, and T loops).
Source: RNAcentral